This is a non-coding RNA of Zootermopsis nevadensis, 1536 nucleotides long. Lineage: Eukaryota; Metazoa; Arthropoda; Insecta; Blattodea; Termopsidae. The record is from RefSeq and is a predicted model, not a curated record.
UCUGGUAACUGCACCCGUUGUCAUGAAAGGCAGAUCACUUGAUUCCACGUAACAUACUUACUUGUUUAUGAUGCUAAAUAUACCUCACUUUUUUCAAAAAUAUUCUGUAUACUUCUAUUUGUCUAUUUUAUCUCUGCAUUUUGACCUUCGGACCGCCAGUGAGUCAAAACAAUAUAAAUAUAUCAGACGUGUAUUGUAGUGCCUUCCAGUUAUAGUAAUGAAUUCAAAAAUAGUUGUGAUUGGAUCAUGCAACAUAGAUUUACAAUGCUUCACCUCACGACUCCCAAGGCCAGGAGAAACUUUGCAUGGCUCACUGUUCAGGAAGGGUUUUGGGGGAAAAGGAGCAAAUCAGUGUGUUGCUGCUGCAAAACUGGGAGCUUCAACAGCAAUGGUAGCAAGGUUGGGUGAUGAUUCCUUUGGCCAGGAUUUCCUUGAGGCCUUGAAAAGCAACAAAAUCAAUACAGAUUUUGUACACAUAACAAAUGGUAUAUCAAGUGGAAUGGCCCAGAUAACUGUGUCUGAUAAUGGUGAAAAUACUAUUGUAAUUGUGGCUGGAGCAAACAAUAAAUUGAGUGUUUCUGACAUUCAGCAGGCAUCAGAGAUCAUCAAGAUAGCUAGUGUGGUGGUGGUCCAAUUUGAAACUCCAAUAGAAACAACAAUUGAAGCACUCAAGAUUACAAAGAAAGGGAAAGGCAUUGCCAUCACUAACGCAGCACCAGCAACGGCCAACCCUGAUCCUCUGGUUUUCAACUUAUCAGACAUGUUCUGUGUCAAUGAAUCUGAGGGUGCUGGAGACAUGUUCGUUGGUAGUCUGGCAUUUUACCUGGCGUGCUAUCCAGAGUUACCAAUGAAGGAAAUUGUGAAGCGAUCAUGUGAAAUGGCAACAGUGUCAGUACAAAAACAUGGCACACAGACAAGUUUUCCAACAAAAGAUGACUUACCAGCCGAGUUGUUUAUGAAAUGCAGUUCAUUUAAAUAAAAGACUACAGUAGUACAUCGUCACUGUCUUCAAAUAAAAAUUUCUGUUUUCUGGGAUAUACUACAUACAAAGGCCAAAUCUCCUAGACCUUUGGAAUGUAUCAUCUAUCCUCUUCCAAAAGAAUAAAUACCACAUCUGUACAAGAAGUAGUAAUGAUGGUGAUCACAAUUUGUGGUGUCAUCAUUAUGACUAAUUCUCUGUUUAUUUAAUAACACAGAGAGAGUGAAUGAUAAAUGUAACGGUGAUAUCAGGCAUAUAAUACUACCCCAGUAUUUGCCUCAAAGGACAAGAAAACCAUGAAAAACCUUGAUCAAGAAAGGUACCUCCCAAAUAUGAAGCAAGAGUGCUAACUAGUGUAUGUAUCACAAUGUUUGGUGCGAUCAUGCAGAAACUAUAAUGGAAAGACUGUUGGUAAUCUGUGAAAUCAAACAAAUACAAUAGCUAAACUAAGGAAGCUAACAUAUUUGUUUCAAAGAUUCAAUGAUAUUGAUAUUUUUAUAGACAAAUUUUCUUUGGACAUAGAUGUAUGAACAGAAUAUACAACAGAUGUUUCUCAA